RNAcentral lists this unclassified non-coding RNA (212 nucleotides) under soil metagenome. RNAcentral's name for it is "partial contains 5.8S ribosomal RNA, internal transcribed spacer 2, and large subunit ribosomal RNA". The record is from RNAcentral.
AACCUUAUGGACCUGCGGGCGUAUACCUGCGGAAGGAUCAUUACCGAGUUAUACAACUCAUCAACCCCUGUGAACUUACCUACAACGUUGCUUCGGCGGGAACAGACGGCCCCGUAAAACGGGCCGCCCCCGCCAGAGGACCCCUAACUCUGUUUUUAUAAUGUUUUUCUGAGUAAACAAGCAAAUAAAUUAAAACUUUCAGCAAUGGAUCU